RNAcentral lists this ribosomal RNA (502 nucleotides) under uncultured Glomeromycotina. Its description in RNAcentral is "partial small subunit ribosomal RNA". It matches the Rfam family "Eukaryotic small subunit ribosomal RNA", at positions 591 to 1092 of the family's 1831-position model. The record is from RNAcentral. Lineage: Eukaryota; Fungi; Glomeromycota.
CCAAUAGCGUAUAUUAAAGUUGUUGCAGUUAAAAAGCUCGUAGUUGAAUUUCGGAAUCUGUCCAUCGGUCGGGCUUCACUGUCCGUACUGGUGUGGUGGGUUCUUACCUUCUGAAUAACCAGCAUGCCAUUCACUUGGUGCGUUGGGGAAGCAGGACUAUUACCUUGAAAAAAUUAGAGUGCUCAAAGCAGGCUAGUGCCUGAAUACAUUAGCAUGGAAUAAUAAAAUAGGACGGCAUGGUUCUAUUUUGUUGGUUUCUAGGAUCACCGUAAUGAUUAAUAGGGAUAGUUGGGGGCAUUAGUAUUCAAUUGUCAGAGGUGAAAUUCUUGGAUUUAUUGAAGACUAACUUCUGCGAAAGCAUUUGCCAAGGAUGUUUUCAUUAAUCAAGAACGAAAGUUAGGGGAUCGAAGACGAUCAGAUACCGUCGUAGUCUUAACCAUAAACUAUGCCGACUAGGGAUCGGACGAUGUUAAUUUUUUAAUGACUCGUUCGGCGCCUUACG